RNAcentral lists this long non-coding RNA (341 nucleotides) under Gouania willdenowi (blunt-snouted clingfish). Its description in RNAcentral is "lncRNA (ENSGWIG00000011972.1)". Lineage: Eukaryota; Metazoa; Chordata; Actinopteri; Blenniiformes; Gobiesocidae. The record is from RNAcentral.
CCAGCGGAGGUCAACGACGGCCACCUGGACGCCACGCGCCACAUGUUGGUGACCAGCGUGGACCCUCAGGAAACGAUGGAUUAUUAUUGGUUGAUUGCAGUGGUUGGAUUUCUCUCAGUGGCUUUUAUUUUGGUGACGUUCCAGGGAAUACGCAGCAGGAUGCGUAGAAGGCCGGGAAAUGUGGAAGAACUUGAAGGAAAACAAACUGCGUUCUGAUCGCAGACGGCAACGCAUUCCUCUGUCGGACUGAAAAACAUGUGUUGAUCAUCCUCUGGAAAUAAUGCAUAACGGAUUGUUUAUUCAAAUGUAAUAAAUGUUUUACUGUCAGUGUGUUUGUCUCA